CCUACGGGAUGCAGCAGUGAGGAAUAUUGGUCAAUGGUCGGGAGACUGAACCAGCCAAGCCGCGUGAGGGAUGAAGGUACAGAGUAUCGUAAACCUCUUUUGUCAGGGAACAAAGGCGGGGACGUGUCCCCGGAUGAGUGUACCUGAAGAAAAAGCAUCGGCUAACUCCGUGCCAGCAGCCUCGGUAAUCCGGAGGAUGCGAGCGUUAUCCGGAUUUAUUGGGUUUAAGGGGUGCGCAGGCGGUUUGUUACGUCAGCGGCCACAGCCCGGGGCUAAACCCCGGCCCGACGUUGAAACUGGCAGUCUCGAGUGGGAGAGAAGUAUGCGGAAUGCGCGGUGUAGCGGUGAAAUGCAUAGAUAUCGCGCAGAACUCAGAUUGCGAAGGCAGCAUGCCGGCUCCACACUGACGCUGAGGCACGAAAGCGUGGGUAUCGAACAGGAUUAGAUACCCCAGUAGUC
RNAcentral lists this ribosomal RNA (459 nucleotides) under uncultured bacterium. RNAcentral's name for it is "partial 16S ribosomal RNA". It matches the Rfam family "Bacterial small subunit ribosomal RNA", at positions 338 to 795 of the family's 1533-position model. The record is from RNAcentral.